GGGGAUGUAGAUCAGUGGUAGAGCGUUCUCUUUGCAUGAUUAAGGUCUCGAGUUCAAUUCCCGAUAUCUCCA
This is a non-coding RNA of Dryococelus australis, 72 nucleotides long. Lineage: Eukaryota; Metazoa; Arthropoda; Insecta; Phasmatodea; Phasmatidae. The record is from the annotation of a GenBank genome assembly.